Molecule: ribosomal RNA, 685 nt
Filed under: uncultured Glomeromycotina
Lineage: Eukaryota; Fungi; Glomeromycota
Description: SSU rRNA
Rfam family: Eukaryotic small subunit ribosomal RNA
Source: RNAcentral
GGGCACGACACCGGAGAGGGAGUCUGAGAAACGGCUACCACAUCCAAGGAUGGCAGCAGGCGCGCAAAUUACCCAAUCCCGACACGGGGAGGUAGUGACAAUAAAUAACAAUACGGGGUUCUUUAGGAUCUCGUAAUUGGAAUGAGUACAAUUUAAAUCUCUUAACGAGGAACAAUUGGAGGGCAAGUCUGGUGCCAGCAGCCGCGGUAAUUCCAGCUCCAAUAGCGUAUAUUAAAGUUGUUGCAGUUAAAAAGCUCGUAGUUGAAUUUCGGGGUUAGUAGGUUGGUCAUGCCUCUGGUAUGUACUGGUCUCACUGAUUCCUCCUUCCUUAUGAACCGUAAUGCCAUUAAUUUGGUGUUGCGGGGAAUUUGGACUGUUACUUUGAAAAAAUUAGAGUGUUUAAAGCAAGCUAACGCUUGAAUACAUUAGCAUGGAAUAAUGAAAUAGGACGUUCGAUCUUAUUUUGUUGGUUUCUAGGAUUGACGUAAUGAUUAAUAGGGAUAGUUGGGGGCAUUAGUAUUCAAUUGUCAGAGGUGAAAUUCUUGGAUUUAUUGAAGACUAACUACUGCGAAAGCAUUUGCCAAGGAUGUUUUCAUUAAUCAAGAACGAAAGUUAGGGGAUCGAAGACGAUCAGAUACCGUCGUAGUCUUAACCAUAAACUAUGCCGACUAGGGAUCGGAUGAUG